RNAcentral lists this ribosomal RNA (497 nucleotides) under uncultured bacterium. RNAcentral's name for it is "partial 16S ribosomal RNA". It matches the Rfam family "Bacterial small subunit ribosomal RNA", at positions 28 to 507 of the family's 1533-position model. The record is from RNAcentral.
GAUGAACGCUGGCGGCGUGCCUAAUACAUGCAAGUCGAGCGAACGGACGAGAAGCUUGCUUCUCUGAUGUUAGCGGCGGACGGGUGAGUAACACGUGGAUAACCUACCUAUAAGACUGGGAUAACUUCGGGAAACCGAAGCUAAUACCGGAUAAUAUUUUGAACCGCAUGGUUCAAAAGUGAAAGACGGUCUUGCUGUCACUUAUAGAUGGAUCCGCGCUGCAUUAGCUAGUUGGUAAGGUAACGGCUUACCAAGGCAACGAUGCAUAGCCGACCUGAGAGGGUGAUCGGCCACACUGGAACUGAGACACGGUCCAGACUCCUACGGGAGGCAGCAGUAGGGAAUCUUCCGCAAUGGGCGAAAGCCUGACGGAGCAACGCCGCGUGAGUGAUGAAGGUCUUCGGAUCGUAAAACUCUGUUAUUAGGGAAGAACAUAUGUGUAAGUAACUGUGCACAUCUUGACGGUAACUAAUCAGAAAGCCACGGCUAACUACGUG